AGUGAACGCUGGCGGUAGGCCUAACACAUGCAAGUCGAACGGCAGCACAGCAGUAGCAAUACUGUGGGUGGCGAGUGGCGGACGGGUGAGGAAUACAUCGGAAUCUACCUUUUCGUGGGGGAUAACGUAGGGAAACUUACGCUAAUACCGCAUACGACCUUAGGGUGAAAGCGGAGGACCUUCGGCGUUCGCGCGGAUAGAUGAGCCGAUGUCGGAUUAGCUAGUUGGCGGGGUAAAGGCCCACCAAGGCUACGAUCCGUAGCUGGUCUGAGAGGAUGAUCAGCCACACUGGAACUGAGACACGGUCCAGACUCCUACGGGAGGCAGCAGUGGGGAAGUAUUGGACAAUGGGCGCAAGCCUGAUCCAGCCAUACCGCGUGGGUGAAGAAGGCCU
This 394-nucleotide ribosomal RNA is filed under the name uncultured bacterium. RNAcentral describes it as "bacterial SSU rRNA". It matches the Rfam family "Bacterial small subunit ribosomal RNA", at positions 29 to 417 of the family's 1533-position model. The record is from RNAcentral.